Molecule: long non-coding RNA, 432 nt
Organism: Ipomoea triloba (trilobed morning glory)
Lineage: Eukaryota; Viridiplantae; Streptophyta; Magnoliopsida; Solanales; Convolvulaceae
Exons: 2
Source: RefSeq, a predicted model, not a curated record
CCUAAAUAUUAUUAUAUAAGUGGGAAAUGAAUUUUUGGUCUUCAUUUUCCCCAUUUGGCCGAAACAAGGGAGAGGAAAAGGAGGGAAUUUUCUUCAUCUUCAACCUCAAGUCUUAAGAACUCCAUAACCAAUCCUUCUUCACAUCUUCAUCAAAGAUUCGGGUUUCAAGAAGGAAUUGGGGAAAAUCCACCAAAAGCAUCUUUAAGACAAUAUUAACUACUUUGGAGGUAAGGAGUUCCCUUAAGUUGGACUAGAUUGCUCAAGUUUGAAUAAUUGAUGGUUGAUUGUGACUUGGUGAAAUUUAGUAAAAAUGUUUAGUAUAAGUUGCCUGUAUAUGGUGUAUAUAAGGUGUAUGUAUAAAUUAUGCUUAUGCCAUAUAGGCUUAUACUUGUGAAAAUAUUGAAAUAAAAUCAAGCUAGUUUCUGGCAGUGA